AUUCCAGUUGCAGACUCUUAUCCCAUAGCAUUUGACAAAUCAAAUUGGAAAGGGACCGAGUCUCUUCUUUACUUUUACCUCUUUUAUUUUUAUAUUUAUAGAUCAGCCAGCUGAGCAAAGAAACAAAGAAAUCACAAGGGCCUUAGGAGCUAAGACAAGAGCUAACAAAGGCAAUCGCUUCUCCGAGCUAUUACGGCUAGAAGGAAGGUGA
Molecule: long non-coding RNA, 211 nt
Filed under: Pogona vitticeps (central bearded dragon)
Lineage: Eukaryota; Metazoa; Chordata; Lepidosauria; Squamata; Agamidae
Description: lncRNA (ENSPVIG00000018530.1)
Source: RNAcentral